UGGGGGAUAUUGCGCAAUGGGGGGAACCCUGACGCAGCAACGCCGCGUGAAGGAAGAAGGUUUUCGGAUCGUAAACUUCUUUAAGUGUGGAAGAUAAUGACGGUACACACAGAAUAAGCCACGGCUAACUACGUGCCAGCAGCCGCGGUAAUACGUAGGUGGCAAGCGUUGUCCGGAUUUACUGGGUGUAAAGGGCGUGUAGGCGGGUGUGCAAGUCAGAUGUGAAAUACCGGGGCUCAACCCCGGGGCUGCAUUUGAAACUGUAUAUCUUGAGUGUCGGAGAGGAAAGCGGAAUUCCUAGUGUAGCGGUGAAAUGCGUAGAUAUUAGGAGGAACACCAGUGGCGAAGGCGGCUUUCUGGACGAUAACUGACGCUGAGGCGCGAAAGCGUGGGGAGCAAACA
Molecule: ribosomal RNA, 402 nt
Filed under: uncultured bacterium
Lineage: Bacteria
Description: bacterial SSU rRNA
Rfam family: Bacterial small subunit ribosomal RNA
Source: RNAcentral